Molecule: long non-coding RNA, 3751 nt
Organism: Glycine soja
Lineage: Eukaryota; Viridiplantae; Streptophyta; Magnoliopsida; Fabales; Fabaceae
Exons: 3
Source: RefSeq, a predicted model, not a curated record
AAUUGAUCCCUCUCUGUCUUGAAGGAAACAUACAAUGGUGUCUAAAGUGGAAGAAGCAAAGAAGAGGAAUAGAAUAAAGAAGCAGAUUCAGUGCAACAAAGGGAAAAUUGGCAUGUUCAAGAGGAGCAGCUCCAAUAUGGAAGAAGAUGGUGCUUCUUUUGCCAUUCUCUUACUUGCUUGCAUAGCUUUGUGUACCUUCCAACCUGCUAAUACAUGCCCCAGUUAACUCUCUUUGAUUAACCUCUUUUUCUCCCUCCUCUUAACAAAAAACUGUAUAUUAUUAUGCUUAAUUUUCCCAUCUCCUAACUCUCAGGGUUGUAGUAUGUACUACAUACCAUGGUGUUCAGAUGUUAAGUAGCCUUCCAAUUUCCAAAAUGUUAUAGCCUCUAUGUUGUCGUUUAAGUUUAUAACAAAGUAAUUGUAUCAUUAUUCAAUAGUUACUUGUGAAUCAUCUGGACAUGGUUCUGCUCAUGCAUCCAAUAACGUCACUUAUGUAUGUAUUUCAAGUUCUAAAGCUAUUUCUUUACUUUGUUAUAAUUUAAAUGUGUAAAGUAGCUCUUGCAUGCUCUGUGGCUGUCUGUUACGCAGAAUAAAUACUCGGAUCUAUACAGCUUCAUCGGAUAGGAAAAAAAGAAAGAAGCGAAGAACGGAGAGAAGGAAACAAGAAAAUUAUAUAUUUCUAAGUUGGUGUAUAGAUUAUUGAGAAAACAGGAUGUGAUGUGAUGUGUGAGGAAACAAAAACAGAAUCCACAUAAAUUUUUCCUCCUACUCAUGAGAUAAAAAAUGGAAUAAGGAGGGAAAUGUUUACGAGAUAAUAAAAUUCAUUUAUUUGUCUAUUUAAUAUUAUAUUAAUAUUUAACUAAAGGAGGGAAAGAAAUUAAGGAGGAGAGAAUUUUAAUAAAAAAAAUAAGAGAGGAAAAAAUGUUAAAAUCAAUGAUAGUAAGAGAAAGUCAGAGAUGCCCUUCAAUGCAUUUGGGAUUGGGGUCUUCACAUACGAGUUCUAGCAUGCACUAGUGUCAUGGGUCUUGUACCGUGCCCAAGUAACCUCAGCCGUUGGAUGUGGAGCGCUUUUUGUUUGUGGUUGUGAUUGUAGGUGGGUGACCGGCUGCAGUGGUAAGUGGACCAUGUUGACGUGGAUUGCAGUUGUGUUGACCUAGACUCGCUUUUUUAUCCUCCUUGUGUAUCACCCAUUCACCCUAUUUGCCGGAGAUUUGCCUUCAGAAGACAACGUUUGUAGGCAUACUCGACUAAAGUUGAAACUAUGGUUGUUCGUGGAUCGGUGAGGAAUGGCGCAGUGUGAUGAUUUGGUUUCCGUCGCCGUCUUGUGUUAUGCCGUUUUCCUUCUUCGAAAUUGUCGUUUCUGAAGAAAGUGACAGUGCAUGGACUUUUUGUUGAUAUUGUUGUGACGGUUGAGGCAUCCAGAAUUAUCACUACCAACAAACUAGUGGAAUGCUGUAACAAACUCAGGAAGAUUCUACAAGAACUUGGAGCCUUCGCGCAAUUGAAACUCAAAUAAAGUCCUGCAAGUCGGACCAAUUGAUACGAAACACUAUUCCAUUCUACUGCUACUGCUAAGGAAAGGAAACUAAGGAAGCUAAGAAAAUGCAAGAUAAGUUUUCUGAUACCUUUAUUAUUCACUCUGUUCCUUAUUUAUAGAUUGCUCUUACAAAAUAUCUAAAGUUUGUUAUAACAAACUUUUGAAUAUUGCCACUAAAAUAAAACGUGCAAAGUGAUAACAAGCAAAGGAACAGAUUCUAGAAGCUGCUAUGUUGAAUCAAGCCAUCUGCUGCAACAACCUUCAGACAAACUCCGCUGAAUUGCUAUCAGAUUAUUGGUAGGGUUUGGAGGACAUAGAGUUUGAAGUGGACAAUCUGUUUGUUGGCGGCAGUGGUUUAUAUGAAAAUGGGGACGAAGAGAAUGUGGAUGAUGAGGAAAAUGAGGCAGAACAGGAUGAUGGCGAAGAGGAUGAUGCUGUUCAUGUCUAUGCAGGAUAUGACCAUGCUGGGUGUGAUGAUGUAAAUUGUGAUGCAGAUCCCAUAAUUCUUAAUGGUCCAGGUGACAUCUACUCAUUUGAUUUUGCAAAUUUAACAUUUGAUGUUCUGGAGAGUUUAGAAUUUGUUGAUAUUGAAAUUGCAUUUGAAUUCUAUAACUGGUUGGGUAGACUUUCUGGUUUUUUGGUACGCAAGGCAAUGUUGUGAAAAAUGUUAACGGUGAAACAUUGCAGCAAACGUUUGUUUGCUCUCGAGCUAGGUUCCAUAAACAGAAUGGUUUAACCUUGGAAACGAAAAGGCGGAAGUCCAGACAAUUAACAUGAUGUGGGUGUGAGGCAAUGUUCUGUGUUCAUGUUCACACUGUUACUGGUCAGUGGUAUGUCACAAUGUUAAAUUUUGAUCACAAACAUGAGAUGCUGGAUGCAAAGCGUUGUGCAUUGCUACCUGCCCGUAGGAAGAUGACAACAACUGAUAUAAUUAAAAUUCAGAAUUUUCAAAAAGUAGGGAUUCGCCCUUCACAUAUGUAUGGUGCGUUUGCAAACACUAGUGGAUAUGAGAAUGUCCGAGUUUUUAGAAAAGAGAUUUAUAAUCAAGUUGAGAGACAAAGAUGAAAACACAAGUCUGAUGUGCAAGGUGCAUUCAAGUUCCUAAAGGGUUUGGGGCAAAGAACCGAAUGCUGUAUGUGUCGUACAGUGUGGAUGAUGACAACAAUCUGCCACAUCUUUUUUGGUGUGAUGGUGAAAGCCAAAAGAAUUAUCAAGUCUUGGGAGAUGUAUUAGCAUUUGAUGCAACUUAUAAGAAGAAUAAGUAGCUAUGUCCUUUUGUGGUGCUAUCGGGCGUUAAUCAUCACAAUAAGACUAUAGUGUGUGCAACAACUUUGUAACGAACAAGACUGCAGAGACAUAUGUAUGGUUGUUGGAAUAAUUUUUGAAAGCAAUGAAUGGAAAAGCUCCAUCUUCAGUUAUAACAGAUGGUGAUGUCGCAAUGAACAAUGCAAUUAGACGUGUUUUCCCAAAUGCAUUUCACCGGCAUUGUGCAUGACAUUUGAUAAGGAAUGCACAAAGUCAUUUGAAGAACACUGACAUUUUGCCUUUCUUGAAAAGACUAAUGUUAAUUGAACUUGAGGCGUCUGAAUUUGAACAAAAAUGGAAUGAAAUGGUGUCCAGGUUCGGGCUGCAGGAUAAUACUUGGUUGAAUGAGUUAUAUGUCAAAAGGAGGAUGUGGUCUCCUGCGCAUAUUUGUGGGAAUUUCUUUGCCGGUAUUAGGAUGGCAUCACGUUGUGAAGCCUUACAUGACCACAUUGGAAAAUAUGUUGAUUCAAGAACUAACUUGAUUGAUUUUGUGGAGCAAUUUCAUAGGUGUUUGACCUAUUUCCGAUACCGAGAGAUUGAAGUUGAUUAUUUUGAUUAUGGGGAUGUUAUUGUAGAAACAAAUUUCCAUUCCAUGGAGAGGAGUGCUGGUCAAAUUCUCACUAAUGAGUUGUUUUUGGCUUUCCAAUCGGGUCUUAAAAAAACUUAAAUGCUUAAGAUGGUUGAAUGUUAGGAAAUGUCAAUGUUUUCUAUUUACAUGGAAUUCAGGCGUUGGUCGUGUGUUUUGCUGAAGAUUCGGCGGUAUAUACAUGAACAUGGAAAAUAAUUUGUCUUGUGAUAGGUAGUUUUCAGAAGUUGAUGUUGGGUUGCUGGUGAGAUAGGGUGUGUGUUUAUGAGUUCGUUGAAUGUGAACUAACUACCAUUGUUGUCACCUAAAAGAAAUGUUGCAUA